UGCCAGCCUCCGCUGUACUACUAAUGUGGCGAUCGUUGUUCGGAAUUACUGGGCGUAAAGGGCGCGUAGGCGGUCUUUUAAGUUAGGCGUGAAAGCCCCGGGCUCAACCCGGGAACUGCGCUUAAAACUGGAAGACUAGAAACGGAAGAGGGUAGUGGAAUUCCCAGUGUAGAGGUGAAAUUCGUAGAUAUUGGGAAGAACACCAGUGGCGAAAGCGGCUACCUGGUCCGAUUUUGACGCUGAGGCGCGAAAGCGUGGGGAGCAAACAGGAUUAGAUA
RNAcentral lists this ribosomal RNA (278 nucleotides) under uncultured bacterium. Its description in RNAcentral is "partial 16S ribosomal RNA". It matches the Rfam family "Bacterial small subunit ribosomal RNA", at positions 506 to 784 of the family's 1533-position model. The record is from RNAcentral.